AACGAACGCUGGCGGCGUGGAUAAGACAUGCAAGUCGAGCGGAAUACACAGGGUAGCAAUAUUCUGUGUGUUCAGCGGCGCAAGGGUGCGUAACACGUGGGUAAUUUGCCAUGAAGUUUGGGAUAACUUGCUGAAAGGCGAGCUAAUACCGGAUGUGACUUUUGGGAGGCAUCUCUCGAAAUUCAAAGUUGGGGACCGUAAGGCCUGACGCUUCUUGAUAAGCCCGCGGUCUAUCAGCUAGUUGGUGAGGUAACGGCUCACCAAGGCUAAGACGGAUAGCUGGUCUGAGAGGACGACCAGCCACACUGGAACUGAGACACGGUCCAGACACCUACGGGUGGCAGCAGUCGAGAAUUUUUCACAAUGGGCGAAAGCCUGAUGGAGCGACGCCGCGUGGGGGAUGAAUGGCUUCGGCCCGUAAACCCCUGUCAUUUGCGAACAAACCUUAUCGGUUAACAACCGGUGAGCUGAUUGUAGCGGAAGAGGAAGGGACGGCUAACUC
Molecule: ribosomal RNA, 502 nt
Filed under: uncultured bacterium
Lineage: Bacteria
Description: bacterial SSU rRNA
Rfam family: Bacterial small subunit ribosomal RNA
Source: RNAcentral